UAGCACCUAGGCAUCUCUCAUCUCUGAAAAAACGAACCGGAUGAAGAAGAAAGCUCUAAUGCCGGUGCUAAAUCAGAUAUAUAGCUGUCAAGUGUUGUAGUUCAUUUUUUUCUACCUUUCUCGAUGGCCAUUUCUAAGUCAAAUCGACGAAUACAUUU
This is a small nucleolar RNA of Lactuca sativa (garden lettuce), 158 nucleotides long. RefSeq annotates it as small nucleolar RNA snoR134. NCBI's taxonomy places the organism in Eukaryota, Viridiplantae, Streptophyta, Magnoliopsida, Asterales, Asteraceae. The record is from RefSeq and is a predicted model, not a curated record.